GCCCCCCUUAGAGGCGUUGCAGAUGUGGCUGCCGUGUCACGUUUGUGUCAUUAGGGGCGGAGAGAAGAGAGGCUUGUCCACGCCCAGUGCUCUGGCCCGUGGGCGACUGGAUAGUGGAUAGUCUGACACU
Small nucleolar RNA from Hippopotamus amphibius kiboko, 130 nucleotides. RefSeq annotates it as small nucleolar RNA SNORA17. The transcript has a single exon. Lineage: Eukaryota; Metazoa; Chordata; Mammalia; Artiodactyla; Hippopotamidae. The record is from RefSeq and is a predicted model, not a curated record.